GACGAACGCUGGCGGCGUGCUUAACACAUGCAAGUCGAACGGAAAGGCCUUUUCGGAGGUACUCGAGUGGCGAACGGGUGAGUAACACGUGGGUGAUCUGCCCUGCACUCUGGGAUAAGCCUGGGAAACUGGGUCUAAUACCGGAUAGGACCGCACUUUAGUGUGUGUGGUGGAAAGUUUUUUCGGUGUAGGAUGAGCCCGCAGCCUAUCAGCUUGUUGGUGGGGUAAUGGCCUACCAAGGCGGCGACGGGUAGCCGGACUGAGAGGUUGGUCGGCCACAUUGGGACUGAGAGACGGCCCAGACUCCUACGGGAGGCAGCAGUGGGGAAUAUUGCACAAUGGGCGCAAGCCUGAUGCAGCGACGCCGCGUGGGGGAUGACGGCCUUCGGGUUGUAAACUCCUUUCGCCAGGGACGAAGCGUUUUGUGACGGUACCUGGAGAAGAAGCACCGGCUAACUACG
Molecule: ribosomal RNA, 461 nt
Filed under: uncultured bacterium
Lineage: Bacteria
Description: partial 16S ribosomal RNA
Rfam family: Bacterial small subunit ribosomal RNA
Source: RNAcentral